Molecule: ribosomal RNA, 468 nt
Filed under: uncultured bacterium
Lineage: Bacteria
Description: partial 16S ribosomal RNA
Rfam family: Bacterial small subunit ribosomal RNA
Source: RNAcentral
GACGAACGCUGGCGGCGUGCUUAACACAUGCAAGUCGAACGGAAAGGCCCUGCUUUUGUGGGGUGCUCGAGUGGCGAACGGGUGAGUAACACGUGAGUAACCUGCCCUUGACUUUGGGAUAACUUCAGGAAACUGGGGCUAAUACCGGAUAGGAGCUCCUGCUGCAUGGUGGGGGUUGGAAAGUUUCGGCGGUUGGGGAUGGACUCGCGGCUUAUCAGCUUGUUGGUGGGGUAGUGGCUUACCAAGGCUUUGACGGGUAGCCGGCCUGAGAGGGUGACCGGCCACAUGGGGACUGAGAUACGGCCCAGACUCCUACGGGAGGCAGCAGUGGGGAGUAUUGCACAAUGGGCGGAAGCCUGAUGCAGCAACGCCGCGUGCGGGAUGACGGCCUUCGGGUUGUAAACCGCUUUCGCCUGUGACGAAGCGCGAGUGACGGUAAUGGGUAAAGAAGCACCGGCUAACUACGUG